AUUUAAUCUUGACCAGAGAUGGCCAAAAUGUAGAUCCCAAGUUGUGGAGGAAUUACAACUCUCAUGAAACUAUGCCAACCUUUCUACAAAAGCUAGGGAGCUACACUUUUGCCAAUACUAGUCCAAACACAGACAAAAAAAAAGCAUCACUAGUGAAAGCUUGGUAGAAAUGCUAAGCAUAGAAGAAAUGUUUCCCGAUCGUAUCUAAUAAAUACAUUGAGAAAAAUGUUGUAUUUACUUAAGCUUACAUGCAUUGCUCAAAAUGUACAAAUGAAUAUCUAAUCAAAGUUUUAUUAAUACAUUUGAUUGUAAACCUACUACAUUACAAGCUGCGUGAACAAUGGGGCACCAGGCUAAAC
Molecule: non-coding RNA, 359 nt
Organism: Pelobates cultripes (western spadefoot toad)
Lineage: Eukaryota; Metazoa; Chordata; Amphibia; Anura; Pelobatidae
Source: the annotation of a GenBank genome assembly